Molecule: long non-coding RNA, 161 nt
Organism: Cebus imitator (Panamanian white-faced capuchin)
Lineage: Eukaryota; Metazoa; Chordata; Mammalia; Primates; Cebidae
Exons: 2
Source: RefSeq, a predicted model, not a curated record
UGCAGAAUGUGACCCUGGCCAUCGCCGUGUUCACCAUCCUGGCCUCCAUCUACUUCUUCAACAAGGCUCAGCAGUGAGAAGACACAGGACCUCCCCACCCAAGAGCCCUGCCUCUGCCCUAACCAUUGCUCUGAGACCAAAUAAAUGUAACUGAAUCCGCA